Molecule: long non-coding RNA, 3797 nt
Filed under: Gossypium barbadense (sea-island cotton)
Lineage: Eukaryota; Viridiplantae; Streptophyta; Magnoliopsida; Malvales; Malvaceae
Description: long non-coding RNA (GBAR_LNC022222)
Source: RNAcentral
AAACAUCAAACUAGACUUUUAUUUAAAAAACAUACGAAAUCCAAAAAAUAAAAACACAGCCCAGCACAACUGCUAGCCUAGACCACAAAAAAAAACAACCAAAUCAUAUAAAGUAAUAAUAACAAGCCUAGUCUAGUCAGAUAUGAAUUGUCCCCCACUCUUGGUUCUCGAUUCUUCAUUUCCCUUGUUGUCGAUUCCAGUUCCAAAAUAAGCAUAGCCUCCUCCCUUUUGAAACUUUUCAUCGUCGCUGUCCUCUUCAUCGAUUCAAGACCUAUUCAAGAAAUCCUUCUAGUCUGGCUUGACCCUUUGUCUUCCAGUCCUCAUCCAACGCACAACAUAUUCAAGCACAAUCCCCACUAGGUAAACCUCAUCCCCUCUUUUUAAACUUUCAGUUACUAUUGUAUGAGCUACCAAAUCGUCAUUCUUAGGAUAUGUCUGAACCAAAUACCUUGAAAAUUCCAUUUGUUCUGCUGAAUGUCUCUAAUAUACGCCCAUAUUACUGAUUUAUACGGGUCUUUCAACUGACAUGUCUUUAUUAUUGUUAAUACGUCGCCCUCGAUUACCACUAUCGCCAAUCCCAUGUUCACCCCCAAUUGCACCGCCUGAGAACAUGCAAGAGCCUCAGCUACAAACGAAGACGCUACAUCCUUAUGAAGGACCAAUUUCGAGGCCAGAACCUCUCCUCUAUCAUUUCUGACUACCAUUCCCAAUCCCAAUCUAAACUUUUGGGGGUCCUAAGCUGCAUCAAAAUUAAUCUUGAUGGUUGUAUUGUUUGGAGGACUCCAUUCAGUGGCUAAAUAUCCCUUUGUAAGUGUCAUUUUUCCUAAACCAUCUAAUUCUCUAAUAUAUCUGAAAAUCAGCUCAGUUAUCCCUCGUCCAAAAUUUAGUUUUCCCUCAGGCAUAUGUUUAUUCAUUUUUGUCCAGGUUACCCAUAUUGCACAGCAAAACAAGCGACAUUGGUUGAUUGAACACCUCCUGAAAGCCCAGGUAAGCUAUUCCCUACUGUCUAAAUUAGGCAUUGAUACAAGCCAUGCAAGAUUUAAAAUUUCUCAUACUUCCAAUGAUAUAGGGCACUCAUGGAACACAUGAUCAAGACUCUCCACAUCCCUCCCACAUAUGGGACACGGUGUAUUCACCACUAGUCUUUUAUAAUUUAGAUUAGUUAGAGUAGGCAAAAAGUUCCAUGAAAUUUUUCAGACUAAUUUUUUGUAUUGCAGAUAGAUUUAGACUCCAAAGUUUCCUGUAAAAAGUUUUGGAAUCAUUCUAAAAACCAAUAGCAUUAGGAUCUGUAUUACCUACUAAUAGUAGUUUAUAUCCACUUCGAUAGGGGUGUAUAAAUUUCGGGUAAAAUCGAAUUAAUUUCAUUAACCAACCAAAUUCGAUUAAUUGGUCGGUUGACCGAAUUAAUUCGAUCGGGGGCCAGUUAAUAAUUUUUUGGAAGUUCGGUUAACUGUUAAUUAAGUUAGAAAUCGGUUAAUUAACCGAAAGUUUUUAUUUUUAUACAUAUUUUACAUAUAUUAAAUUUAGUUAAUUUCAUUAAUUCAGUUAAUUUUUUAUAUGUUUUAUACUUGUUUUAACAAAAAAAAAUAUAAAUUUUGGCUAAUCGACCGAAUUAACCAAAAAAGUUCUAUUCAAUUAAUUUUUUUGAAAAAAAAUUGGUUCGGUUAAUGGUUAAAUGUUUUAAAGAGUUGGUUAAUUCGGUUAAUGAUAGUUCUGGUUGAUUAAUCGAUUGAACACGCCUACACUUCGCACCGAGAAUUCCCCAAAAUGCUCUCCUUUCCACAAUAGCAUAUCAUCAUGCCCCUCCUUAGCUAAUAGGAUUCGAAGAAUUCUAGUCGCAUCAAUGUCCGCAAAGGUAUCGUUAAUGACAUCUAUUUUUCAUACUCUAGAAGUAUUAUUUAUUAGAUCCGAGAUUAUUAUUAUAUCAACAUUAUUGAUAUUGCUACUAACUUUGUAGUUUUCUACCUUUGGCAACCACCCAUCCUCAACAACUGAAAUUCUAUCACUAGUACCAACCCUCCAAUAUAGUCCAUUUUGUAAAAAGGCCCCUCGUUGCCCACACGCUCUGCUAGGUAUAAGAAGGUAGAUUCCCUAAUCUAGCUUUUAAAAAAUCACAGUGCAACUAAUAUUUUGCUUUUAAAACACGAGAUAACAAAGAAUUUGGAUAGGUAUUAAGAUGACAUCCUUGUUUAGCUAACAAAGCCAAAUUGAAUUUAGUUAAACUUCUAAAACCCAAACCACCACUCUCUUUUAACUCGCACAACUAGUUCCACUCACACCAAUGUAUACCCCCUCCUACCAUGUCCUUUUUGCCACCAAAACCUUGCCAUUAUGCUUUCUAACUCUCCACAGAGUGACUUAAGAAGUAAAAAGCAUGUCAUAAAAUACGUCGGGAUAGCUUCUAAGACAUCUUUAAUGAAAACCUCAUUCCCUCAUUGAGACAAAAAUCUUGCACUCCAACUAUAUUUUUUUUCUUGAACCGGUCUUCUUUCACCUCCCCAUUAUAUUUGGUAGCCCCAAGUACCUCUCUUGAUAAUUCGAAUACCUAACCUCCAGAAUUAUCGAAACCAAUUGCCUAUCUCCUUUAUAAGUAUUUGAACUAUAUAAACAGUGGACUUCUUAUAGUUAAUGCAUUGUCACGAACACACCUCGUAUUCCCUUAAAAUCUAUUUUAGUGUCUAAGCCCUCUUAUUGUCUGCUUCUCCAAAUAGCACACAAUCAUCUACAAACAAAAAAUGUGAUAUCUCUCCACCCUAUUAGAGUAUGAUCGAUAUCUCUUAUCUCACUUGUCGAGAAUAGGUUUUGAAAAUAAAUUCAAGCGAUCUUUUCCAUUUCUUCCUCAUCCAUCGCCACCCUCCAAUCCUCGUAUUAUAAACAUCAAAUUUUAUUCAUUCUUCUGUGUUGGGAAACAUAGUUAUGGAAAAAAAGUAGUGUUUUUGUCUCCCCAAUCUCAACCAAUUCGCUCUUGCUCUUUUCUCCCAAUAUAUCUCAUCCUUAUCAAUCUCUAAAUUAAGUUGGAUUUUAGUGUCAAUAAGUUCCAAAACAUUAUUAUUAUCUCUUCCCUUAUCCAUAAAAUUUUCUUGUUUUCUAGUCAAGUCCCUUAAGGCCCUCCCUUUUGCUUCUAACAGAUCCCACCCAUUUUCCUAAAUCCUUCCUUAGACAUUCCAACUUAGUAUAUAUAUCACCUGUAGUUGAAUCCUAGAUCAAUUUCACCUCCCAUUCAAAAGACUCUUCCAUUACCCACUAUGCCUCGAAUCGGAACCUUUUCAACCUCAACCUAUGACCAUCUUGCUCUGCAUAAAUGGGAAGAGGACAUUGAUCAGAAAAAGAGUGUCGUAGAUGAUGAAUCACUGUACUUGGAAGUGGGGGAUGUCAUGACAUCAACCUUGAUUUUUUGAAAAUUUGCAAUCUCAUCCUUGUUGAAUCUUGAGUCGACUUUAGGGCUUACGAAAGCUCGAGAAAAGUUUUAAAUUGUACUGGUUGAUGUAAAUGAUUGAAAUUAAUGAUUUUUUUUACUUGAGUUAUCUGUUAAAUAUUUGUAACUAUUCUAGUUUAUACCAUAGCAUUCUAUAGCUCAAUCUUAUCAAUUGGGAUGAGUAAGGGGUGUUACACAAGGUUUAAGGUUCAGGAUUAUGACAUUAAAUAAUAAAAAAUGAAUAUGGGAUUACGUAACGCCCUUGUUUCAUACAAUUCAUUCUCUAUAUGAUCAUGCUAUAUGAACAAAAUCAUUGUCCAUAAUGGUGUAGAAAAUUAAUUUUAUUAAUGUGUAUUUUUGCAUUGACCAAUUUAAUAUUCCC